GACCCGACUCUGCCCACCUGCCUGCCCUGAACACUGACUCCAGAAGUUGGCAAAGCUGCUGCCACCACCCAGCUCUCCCACUCGGCUAUCUGCAGUCAUGUCAGCCGAGACCAAGAGGCAUCAUUGCAAGACCAAGGGAUGAAUUCAUUCUUUUUAAUAAAGGAAUCUUCAAAUCAAAUAGCCCUUCUAGCUAUUUCAUCAACAACCCACUGGAGUGCCAGUCACAGAGACCACUCAUUUACCAGAUUCUGCUGCUGCUGCUGCUGAGUCGCUUCAGUCGUGUCCAACUCUGUGCAACCCCAUAG
Molecule: long non-coding RNA, 305 nt
Organism: Bos taurus (domestic cattle)
Lineage: Eukaryota; Metazoa; Chordata; Mammalia; Artiodactyla; Bovidae
Source: Ensembl